RNAcentral lists this ribosomal RNA (253 nucleotides) under uncultured bacterium. Its description in RNAcentral is "partial 16S ribosomal RNA". It matches the Rfam family "Bacterial small subunit ribosomal RNA", at positions 524 to 776 of the family's 1533-position model. The record is from RNAcentral.
UACAGAGGUCCCAAGCGUUGUUCGGAUUCACUGGGCGUAAAGGGUGCGUAGGUGGUGAGGUAAGUCGGAUGUGAAAGCUCGGAGCUCAACUCCGAAAUGGCAUUGGAAACUACCUUGCUAGAGGGUUGGAGGGGGGACUGGAAUACUUGGUGUAGCAGUGAAAUGCGUAGAUAUCAAGUGGAACACCAGUGGCGAAGGCGAGUCCCUGGACAACUCCUGACACUGAGGCACGAAAGCUAGGGGAGCAAACAGG